This is a long non-coding RNA of Dromaius novaehollandiae (emu), 929 nucleotides long. RefSeq lists it as uncharacterized. The record is from RefSeq and is a predicted model, not a curated record. The transcript is spliced from 3 exons. NCBI's taxonomy places the organism in Eukaryota, Metazoa, Chordata, Aves, Casuariiformes, Dromaiidae.
CAGCUUCAUUUGCUGCCUAUGUUCCUGUCUGGUCAACCUUCUGUGGUCCAGUUUGUUUCUGUGACUUCCUCAACCCCAAAGGAUCAAGUGAUAACUAUAAGUCCCAGUGAACUGCAAUGGAAAAUUCAUGGAUUUGAUGGUGGACAUCACUAGGUACAAGCAUGGCACCCAAGUCUUUGAGAACUCAGUUGUUUACCAAUGGACAGACCAAACUCUUCUUGUGCUAUCCCAGCAAGUAGAACGAAGGCCUUAGCGUUCCAAUUAGAAUACCUGUUCUAGAAUGUGAAGAUGAGCCCUACAAAAAGAAGAUGUAUCAUAAUGAAAGUAUGGAAGUUGAAGGAAGUUUUUUCUUUUUUUCUUUUUCUAUUUCUUUUGUGUGUGUGUUUCCUACCAAUGUUAUAAUGCUAUUGCAUAGUUGCUGCCCAACUGCAGUUGCAUUGCAACAGAUGCACCUUCUCGGAUCCAACCCCUGCAGGAAAAGGCUGAGCAUUUGGAACAUCUGUUCUUUGAUGAAAACAUGCUAAUUUCUACAGUCUCUUGGCAUUCUUAGUUGAGCUAGUAUGUAGCAAUUUAGAAAAUAUGAUAAAAGAAAUGUAGAAGACAGGUGGAUGAUCACCAAGGAGAACUCCCCCUACAACUUUAAUAAAUGCCAGAAGUGUGCACAAACAUAUAUAUUUCUGUAAAUGUACAGGAAAAUUGUUUUCCUUUGGGUAUGAAUAGUUUGUAAUCCUCUUACAAAAGCUCAGCUCCAGGGCUGAUUUUGAGAGAGACAAAGACAACUGAUGUUCUGCCUUGGAAAAAUUGUGUUAUAACGAAGAAAGUAAGAGUUAUGUCAUAAGAAAAUAAGAAAAUUAUCCUUAUUCUAGUCAAAUAAAAAAACUGAAUAAGAGUGACUCAUGCACUUUUGUUGUAUUAACAUGGAGAAAAUA